RNAcentral lists this transfer RNA (75 nucleotides) under Bacillota bacterium. RNAcentral describes it as "tRNA-Glu". It matches the Rfam family "tRNA". From Rfam's summary of the family: Transfer RNA (tRNA) molecules are approximately 80 nucleotides in length. Their secondary structure includes four short double-helical elements and three loops (D, anti-codon, and T loops). RNAcentral also lists the same sequence under 2 other names. Lineage: Bacteria; Bacillati; Bacillota. The record is from RNAcentral.
GGCUCUAUCGUAUAGUGGUUAGUACGUUGGCCUCUCACGCCGAUAACAGGGGUUCGAAUCCCCUUAGAGUCACCA